ACUAGAUCCUGUUCAGACAUGUUGUAACAGGUGUAUGGCAUCAUAAUUCAGCUAACCUCAGAGACUCUGUUAGCUAUGUAGAAGAUCAAAUUCUCCCCAAGCAGCAGAUCAUACUAAGGGAGGUGGCAGAGCACCUAGGUUUUGAAAUGGAAUGGAACAGCGUUGGAAUUCCAACUCUAUCACUCAUGAGCUGUGUGAUCUUGGCCCUAAACUAAUUAAAGAAUAGUACUACGUGUCUCAGAGGGUGAAAGAAGAUGGAGGAAAGCCUCUGAGACCCAGGAAAGUAGUAGAGCUGCUAGAUCUGAAAUGCAGACUAAAACAGCAGGAAAAAUGGAACAACGUGUGGACACUCUGGACCGCUGACCAAAUGCUGGAGAGGCUUCCUCUGCUCUCCGGUGUCCUCUUGGAUGAAGUUGGGUGAGGAUGUCUCCAAAACAAUCAAAAUUUUGUGUCUCUCCACCCUGGCAAAAUGAGAGCAUCAAACCCAG
Long non-coding RNA from Nomascus leucogenys (northern white-cheeked gibbon), 488 nucleotides. RefSeq lists it as uncharacterized. The record is from RefSeq and is a predicted model, not a curated record. The transcript has 4 exons. Lineage: Eukaryota; Metazoa; Chordata; Mammalia; Primates; Hylobatidae.